Cinara cedri is the source of this 5238-nucleotide non-coding RNA. The record is from the annotation of a GenBank genome assembly. NCBI's taxonomy places the organism in Eukaryota, Metazoa, Arthropoda, Insecta, Hemiptera, Aphididae.
GUUGCCGCGAACGCGUACUGUCCUUUGGCGCGAUCUCCGCCGCUAUCGUCUCGCCUCGCGUUUUUACCGCGGCGUAAUCGUAUCGUUGUAUACAUUGUAGAAUAUUGGUAUCUCGGACAGUUACAAUCGCCACCGCGCUAACGGUUUUGAAUUUCGUUUCGUUUAUUUUUUUUUUUUUUUUUUUUUUCCCAGCCCGAUUAAUUUGAAUUUCGUUCGGUCCCCCACCCCUCCGAAUCGUUAACAAUACAGGCGUCGACUAUCCUUUUUGACUUCUGGUCGCGCCGUCACGUGUCCGAUCCGGGAGAAAAUAUAGCUGCAGGUAAUAAAAUAUUAUUUAUUCGUAAUGACUACGUUUUUGUUACGUUAUAAAAUCCGUAGACAAAAAAAAAAAAAAAUCGACUCAGAGAGAUCGAUUCAAAUCGUUUAUAAUAAUAAUAAAAAAAUAAAAUAAAUAAAUAUUAUACACUACAUAUUUUCAUAGUGUAUAGUGCGCGGUGUUUUUGAAAGAUAAUUGCCAGAAUAAUAAAGAGCAUAAAAAAAAUAAUAAAAAUUAUAAUUUUGUUCAUUACCUAUCAUAAAACUAAACGUUUAAAGUAGUACGAGUUUAGGUACAUCUGGAUUUCAAAAAUUCCACGUGCGAUCGAUGUAAUUUUGUAACUAACCUAUAAAAUCGCAUUGAUGUAAAUUAAAUAUUUCGCCUAUCGUUUUUAAUAAAUAUUGGAUAAAUAUUAACACGGUUCUUUUUUUUUUCGAAUACAUUUAUCUCAAGUAUAGCGACUCGAAUAACUUAUUCCCCAUUUAUCCGGAUAAAACAAAGCACACAACUAUACCCUACCUUGAUAAAACACACACUGUCGUCUAAAUAUGAUGUACGAAAAUAUAAAAAAAAAAAAAUAAAAAUACAAAGCAGAAAUUUCGUAUUUUAUAUUUGGAGCAUAUCAAUGUAUGUAUUGGUUUUACAUUGAAGUUUAUUUUAUUUUUUUUUUCUGUAAGCAAAUUUAUACCAGAAAUCUUGCUCCGAUAUUUCAAGUGUAGUAUCUUUUCUGAAAGAAAAUUUUAUUCGGGUGAUACUUUAGGCAGGUAAUUUUUCAAUUUUCCAAGAGGCUUUCAAAAUAAAUGUGUAAAACGGGAAAAAUUACAAAAGGUAUUAUUUUUUUUAUAUUGUUUUGUUUUGUUGUUGUGACUUAAUUAAAAAUAUUCGUAGAGAUUUUAAAUUUGGACAGUAUAUAUAUAUAUAAAUUUGGAUUUUCUAGACGAAUUUUCCAAAUAUUUUAACCAUUUUUGAGCUAUUAAUAGAUAUUUAAAUUUUACAAGUUCGUAAUUUCGAUAAGUAGGGACUCUGUGGAUACAAUUGUUUGAUUAACAAAAAAUACUUGGAAAUUUAACAAAAGGUUUAUAAUAAAUUGUACUUUGUGCUGAAAACAAAAAAAAAAUUGAGUGCAAUGUGGAAUUUUUUUAUAAGAAUUUUAAUAUCAAAACAUUGACGAUAAUCGUAAAUAUUACGACCUUUUAAAACGUGUAUAACCGAACUCUGCUCAGAAUCGUUUUCCGUUCGCAAUGUUAGUAAUCGUUGCGUACAGAUAUACAUUCAAUUUCACUAUAAAUCCAACCUUCCCAACUUUUCACCUACAACAGCCGCCCACCCAUAGUGCGAAGUCUAUAAGUCGUUUACAUUUAUUUCAUCGUUAUAUUUUUGAGUACAUUAACAUCUAAAAUAGUUUUUGGCUUUCAAAAAUUUAGUAUUCACUGAUUACAGACAUAUUAUUUGACUAUCGUACCGCGUUUAGCAGGUAUUAGACAUUUUUUGUUCGCGAUAAAAUGUAUAUAAUGUAAUAUCGACGCACCGCUUUUGACACUUUCGAACAUAAGCAUUUAUUUAAUACCCGUCGUCGAUAUAGUUUUUUCACUCCCGGAUAUUUUUAAAUUUUCGCUGACACACUGAUAGAAGUACUUUAUAAUUCUGCUACUCUGAUUCCAUUCGAUUUGAAAUAUUCAGAGCAGAACGAGUUUGGAUCUUAUAAUCGAUUGGUGAGAUGACUUUUUGAAAUACUUCGUACCUAGUUUUUUUUCUUGUUAGGGGGGGGAGGGACGAUUUAAAAAUUGACGAUGUCUUUUUGUUUUAACUCGGCAUUAGUAAGAUGUAAGAAAUCGCAGACGUUCUUACCGUAUACACUUAUGUUCAAAGUGGGUUUUAGAUUCUGAGUGGAACGCAGAAGCUUAUGGUUUUACAAAAAUAAUACAUUUUUUUUUUUUAUCUGUGCGUUAAGAUUUCUACCAGAAAUCUUUCACAGAUUUAUAAUGAUGGCAUUUUUUCUGAAAGGAAAUUUGACUGGGAAGGUAUUUUAAGGUGGUCAUUUUUCGAUUUUCUUAGGAGUUUUCUCAACAAAUGUAAAAAACCGAAAAAUAACUGAAGAAAAACGAGUAAAUGUGUGAAAUGUAGGUAUUGGUUAAAAAUUAUUACGGCUUUCUUUUUUCCUAUGAACAAAUUUUCUAUCAGCAAUUUUGCUCCGAUUUACAAUGAUAGCACUUUUUCCAAAAGGAAAUUUGGAAGAGUAGUGGAGUUCUUAUAAAAAGCCGGCCGCAAAUUAUACUCCAAUACUCUCCCGUUAUUUAAAUUAAAAAGUGGAAUAUCUCGUUAACGGGUUGACGAAAAUCAAAAAUGUUAUCACUAAAAUGUAUUUAAAGUAAUGCUCCGUCUAUUCAUGAAAUUUUUAAUACAGGUUUUAGUUUGAAAAAUCAAAGUUGAUAUCGUUAUAGAAUAUUUUUUAAAUAUUGUGAAAAAUCCAAAUAUUCGAAAAUGUUACAAAAAAAAAAAAAAAAAUAAACAAACAGAUAUGGUACACGUUUAGUGAAUCACCGUAUAUAUAAUAUAUUCACCGUAGAUGAGUGUGAAAAAUUGUACCCGAUACAGGCAUUCGAUUUGAAUGUUCCACUCUUGAUUCAUGGUUUUUAUAAAAUGAGUUAGGAUGAUAUCCGUGCUUACGGGUGUGUUAAUACCACGCCAGUGGCACACAAAUCGACUUGUGGGCUGUUUCGCCAGUGUCACGUCAGAGGUAAAAAAAAACACAACGUUCUUUCAUCGCGCUCCAACCAAUGUACAUUUGCGUACACAUCCACAAAAUCGUAAAUUAUGUACAAUAGUAGGCAAUGAAUGUCUAUUCAUUCAAACUAUAAUUGAUAAUGAUCCAAAUUCAUCAAACCUAAAUAUAAUAUAAUUUUAUUCUUAAAUCAUAAUUCAAGAGUAAGGAAAUUAAUACACGUUACGACUUAAAUGCCAACUAUGAAUACAUAAAUAUAUAUAUCAACACUUGAGAAAUUUUUUCCCGAUUUACAAUAAUAGCACUUUUUCUUCGAUAGUUAACGAAAUCUAAUUUGGAAGGUACUUAAAGGAGAUCGGCUUUCGCUUUUCCCAAGAACUUUCCCAGCAGAUGUGAAAAACCCGGAAAAACAAUGGCUGCACCCAUCCCUAUUAUCCUAAUAUAGCUUUAUAUUUUUUUUCAUCAUAAACCAGUAAUAUUUUCGAGGGAUUUUAUGUGAAUUUGUUAUCUGUUAUAUUUUUAACUAUUGUGAAAUCGUUCAUUUUUUAUUUUAAAAACAUUUUAAAUUUUUUACCCACACUUAAGAUACACCUUAAAUAAGUAUAUAAUUUUGUUUUUCAAACAGAAACCCUCCAUUGAAAAAUAGAUUCGAAUGGAGAAUAUUUUUUUAGAAAUUUUGUUAUGCAUAACACUUGUGUCAGAUUUACAGUUUAUGAGUUAUAACCGGUUUAAGUUUAGACCAGAAAAGUAGGGAAGAGUAUUGAUUUAUCAUUUGAAAAUAGAUAUUCAAUUUAUUACCCAUUUCUUACUCAUUCGGUAUACAGUUUAAAAGGUUAUAAUUCAUGAAGGGUAAAUCUGAUAUUAAUUUUAUGCAUAUCAAAAUGUCUAGAAAAAUAUUCUCCAUUCGAAUCUUUGUUUUAAAACGGGGUUCUUAUUUAAAAAACAAAAGCAUAUACUUAUUUAAGGUACAUAGAAUGAGGUGUAAAAAUUAAAAAUAAUUUUAAAAUAAAGCUGAAACGCUUCCACAUUGAUAAAAAAAAAAAAACAAGAAACAAAUACACUUAAAAUCACCCAAGAAAAUUGUCAUUCGUGACGAAAAAAAUCACUCUGUAUUUUAUUUACUACUUGCCGUAUUAGAUAUUAACCUAUUUGAAAUUGUCUGUUUUUUUUUUUUACGUCAAUAUUUAAUGUUUGACUAUUUAUGUUCAAAAAUUUAAUCAAGGAACAUCAUACUAUAGUAAAAAAACAAAAAUGAUCACCGCGAUUCUAUACAUUUUUUUCUUUUGAUAAAAUUUAAAGGUUCAAAAAAAUGGUCGAUGAACUUCGUAAAAAUUGUAAAAAUAUCAACAAAGGUAAAUAAAAACGAUUUAUAUAAUUUCCAGUUUUUUCCAUUUAUUAAGAGAGUUACAAGUAAAAGGAAAAAAAAUGGCCUCAUCAAUACACACGCCGAUUCAAAAAUUCUACAUGAAAACUCCUAUCAAGCUUUUGAUUGGAGCAAGAUUUUCGAUACAAUAGUUGUUUUACAGUCAUAUGCAAAAAAAUAACCACAACACAUCAUCGUAAAACCAAUAUAUUCCACGCUUUACUUAGAGUUUAUAAUAUCGCACUACAUUUAAUCACGGAACAUCAUAAUAUCAUAUACCUAUCGUAGUUUUAAUUAAAUUAAUAUUAAAUGUACAAAAUAACCUAAGUCUAAGAAUGUUUUUUAAGAAAUUCUGCCUAUACUGCCCUCGUAGUGGAAGUGCAGUAAAUACAAAAUGUUUAAAAACGAGAUUAUAGCAAUGCAGUUUUGUUAGUUUUUAUAUUCCGCUGUCCUCAAUUACGGAGGUUAUAAGUAGUAAAAAAUCGAUUUUAAAAUUUCGUGGUUACACGUUUUUGUUUCAGUUUUUUUCGAUAUUCAAAAAUCACUAAAGAGAAUAAAUCGUGGUGCCGUUGAUAAAAACUACACCAACGAAAAUACACGUGAAGGUAUGUUAAUCUGAAUAUUAAAUGCAGUUGCAGUCGGUUCGUGUUAACUGCAGUGACAGAUUUGAUGGGGGGAUAGGUGAUUGGGCGGUCGCCUCCUCCCCCACCCCUCGGGCUGAGGUUAUGUAUGUUUAUGUGUACAUAAAUUCACCCUUCCCCCCACUCGAUCAAACCCCGGAUCAGUUACUGGUUAAUUGCUGCUGCAUACAUUUUGUGUACACGUGAAUAAUUACUA